CCGUCUCUAUUGUUAUCUCUAUUGCAAAUUUCCCCAAAAUAUUUCUCAGAACAAAGUUGAUGAUUGAAGAAAUUUUGCUUCACUUACCUGUUUACCACUUUUUCUUUCUUCUUUUUUGGUAAAGGUCAAUUUGGAGCUGUAUGUAUCGGAAUAUUUGUUAUGCCCUAGCUUAUUGAUACAUAAAUAUCCAAAUUAAAAAAUUUAACCUUUCUAAGUCUCAAUGUUCUCCAUUGUGAUUGCGAUCAACCAGACAAGUAGUUGAAAGUGAUUAAGAGCAUGCAUUGUUGCUUUGCUUCACGUUUUUUUUACUGAAUAACUGUUUCCACAAUUUACUCAACUUUUGAAUUAUAUGCAUUUUCCCUCACGUCAAAAAUACUUCUGAAACUCGAGACAUAAGCAGAACAGUGAAUACUUGGAGGGGAACUCAUAAAGAAGUCUAAUUUCAAAAUAAUUUAACUUAGGGGAGCAUUUCUUUUAUUAUUAUCUGAAUUAUAAUUUUUCAGAAAGAAGAAAGAGGACUAUCUUUUUUUGUUUAUCCCCCUUUUGUUUUAUAGUCUUUACCUAUCUUGCCCGGUUAAAAGCACAACUUGUGGUGUUUGGCAUAGGUGCAUGUUACAGGAACCUUACAAAGCCUGGUAUUUAACCCAUUAUCCACCGAGUUUCGAACCGUGUGUCACUUGGCCUCAGGAAUUCCUCAGAUAUUACCUAUCUUGUUUCAAGCUCAUAUAGUUAUCAACGGGCUAAUAUGUAUGUAUGGGUAAGAAUUGAUCUCUAAAGUGACUAUUAGUAUGCUGUGUAAGUACUUUUGUGGUAAUUUUUGUAUCAGUUGCAGAAACAAGCGGAUGUUGAAUAUAUAUGCAAAUUGCAUCGUGAUUAUGCCUCACGUAUAUCAUAUUUAAAACUGAUACUGUAAAUGAGUAAAUCUUGUUUUAAACAUAUACUCAAAAUUAUUGCUCAAGUAAGGGAUUUGUGCUUAAAGUUUCUGCUUGAAUAAAUGCUUAAGGAAUGAUAUCUGAAUGAAAUUUACAUUCUUCCCGCGCGUAACUGCAUCCUACUUUUUCUGCUCAUGCGGGACAUUGCUUAGCUUCAUUUGCUGUUAUUAAAACAAUGAAGAUCUUGUAUCCAAAAAAGUAGAUAUUCAAGGGUUGAGAGUAUUAGUGAAGAUCUGAUUCACUCUAUUUGGCCGUUCUUUAUGGUCCGGCCCUUCCCCGGACCCCGCGCAUAGCGGGAGCUUAGUGCACCGGGCUGCCCUUUUUUUUAAUUUUUUUUUAUCAUUGGAGGCAAGUGUAGGAGAGAACCUGACAAAGCAUUCCAGUGUACGCUACCUGCAUAAGAAAGAGAGAUCGACUGAUUGCUCAAAAAGCUUUUUCAUGCAAUAUGGUAUAAGGUGAAUGGGCUAUUGGGCUGAAUGGACCGAGUGGGCUGCGCCUGGGCCUGGAUCAGGCAGAAAUGAAUGUGGCGCAACUCAUCCGUUAAGGUAGCAUAUCUUGUUAACUCCAACAAUCACUACAAGCAAGAAAUCUCCAAUGGAAUUGAUUAAUAAAGUUCCACGUAUCAAAGCUCAGGGUAGGAUUGUUGCCUGUGAAGGAGAUACUAAUCCUGCUCUUAGGCAUUCAAUUGAGUUUAUAUGCCUUGAUCUGGAAGAGCAUGCAGUAUGCAAGUACUGUGGUUUACGCUAUGUUCAAGAUCGUCACCUCUAGAGCUACAUAACGGAACUUCCUGAAUUUGCAAAGAAGAGCCUUCUUCAUUUAUAAGCAAGCAGCUGUGGUGGUUAUUAUGUUUAGUUCCCAAGCUAUCAUUUAAUACUUAGCAUCUAUGGUGCAACAACUAUUAUGCUUCAGUGGUAGUGCUAGAAAAAGGUACCUGUUGAAGAAACUGGGGAAUCUAGUGAUCCACCACUGCUUCCUUGAGGGCAAUAAAGUGGCAAACAUUUUGGCUCAACAAUCAUCUAAGGGAGUUCUAUCCAACCAUCAGUCCAUCUUCUCAUCACCGCUGCACUAUGUUGAUAAGGAAAUGCAGGCUGACCAGGAAGGAAUAGGCACUACUAAUAACUAUCUCUACUUGUAGUAAUCUGUCUAGUUUUUAUAACUUAAGUGUACUUAGUGACCCUAACGUGAAUGGUCACCACUCUACUAAUGUAAUGACUGUUUUUUAUACAUAUAUAUAUCCUUUCUACCAAAAAAGAAAAAAAAGAAGCAUCCAUUUUGUUAAUGCACGAGCUCAGCCACUGCUUUACUGCUGCAAGUCGGCAUUUCUCAGGUUAGCCAAACAGAAAUAUUAAUGA
Molecule: long non-coding RNA, 2284 nt
Organism: Nicotiana attenuata
Lineage: Eukaryota; Viridiplantae; Streptophyta; Magnoliopsida; Solanales; Solanaceae
Exons: 5
Source: RefSeq, a predicted model, not a curated record